CCUUGAAUUGAUAAGCAAGUUGGUGCUAAAAGUGGGUAUAAUACCAUGAUUUACAGCUCUGUAAACAAAGAGGUUGCAGCUUUAAUGGUGCUGUUUGCACCAGGUUAGCACAUUUAAGGAGAACUAACAAAGUCACUAUCGGUUAAGUCCUUUGGCUUCCUAUAACUAUGAAUGUCAGCUUUAAACUGACAGAAGAGGUGGGUUUACUUUUGACUAUGCUAACCUAAGGGAUCACCAUUUUUUAUCAGUGAGUUGGAUGUCUUCUGGUUUUGGGUAGCUGUGUGUUUCAAAUGUUGUUGCCCUUAAAAUCACUUGUAAAGAAGGAAAGGAGGUGGAUAAAGGAUCAUCCAUCUGUACACAGACAUCAGUUUGGACCAGCUCUCUGUGCAACAUACAGAAUCAGAUAAGAGAUCUAGAGGCAUUCCUGCUGUGCUUGUUUCCAAUCGUACUUCCCAUCUUUCUGGAUAUCCGGUCAUCAAAGUUGGUCAGAUUCUACUCUGAAGGGACAUGUGCUCUCCCCUAUGAGCAGGAAAACAAACUUGAUUGGGAGCACUGACCUAUAGUAGAGGGAGAUUUCACCAACCCCACCUUUCCCUUUCCACUUUUGGACCCCGACCACGCUGACAUAAAGCUCAGGAAGGGAGUAAGCUGCAGGGACACACGCUCCACACUCUCCUUCCGACCAUCACAAGAAGCCGGUUUACCGCUGUCUGUUUGCUCAGGAGGCUAGAGUCAACUGCUGGAGGGAAACAGGGGGGAGGUUUCAAUCAGGAUCAUACAUCAAAAGUUUGGAGGUGCACCAAGUCUUUAAUUAUCAGAUACUGCACAGGAAAACACAGAGCAGAUCAGCGCAGUCAGUCCUCAUUCUUCUUCCUGUGUCCUAUGCUAAAGGUCAAAGGUCACAUAAACUCAAUUUAUCAGCGGUUGCAGUUCAAAAACUGCCGAAUGCAAAUGUACACAUCUUGAAGAGCACUCAAAGCACACACAGGAAUUCUUGCCUACAGCCAAUGUAAUCAACCUGCUGUUUCCACCACAGAUUAACUAUUGUUAUACAUGAGGCUGAUGAUUAAGUUAUGCUUUUUCAGUGCUGCACUUUAAAACAAGCUCAAACAUGUUGAAUACCUGCUGGUGCAUAUCUGCUGUUUUGCCAACUGUGAGGGCUAAAAAUGAAACUCCAAGAACACAAAACUGCUAAUGCAGCCGACCCAGCGGAUAAAUCUGAUCCUUUUCGGGUGGAAUUCUGCCAUUUUAACAAGAAAACAAGUAUCAAUUUUAAAUACUGGAAACUUAAGCAGUAAUUUCAAGUUUGGCAACCACAAACUCUGAAUAUUUUAAAUAAGUGUUAUCUUUGUCCUUGGAACAUGAAAACAUGAUAAUCCUAACAGGUUUCACUAUUUUCAAGUAAUACAUUAUAGAUAAGCAUGACGUUCUUGAAUUUUCCAGUCUGGUUUGAAGCUCUUCACAGUGCAGAGUCUGCCCUUUUACAAGCUUUUAAUGAUCUUUUAUUGACUGCCAUUUUGCCAAAUUCUGCCAUUUUAAUGCUUUUUGAUCUAACAGCUAUUUAUGAUACAGUUGAUCACACAGCUCUCAUUUCUCACCUUGAUCAGUGUGAAAUUAAUAAGUAGACAGCACUUCAUUUGCCUCAGUCUCUUCUGUUAGAGAAGUUUUGUAGUCAAACUUGAUAUUGUCCUCUACUCUACUGCUGUGAGGUGUAUCCCAAGGUUAUCUUUGGGCCCAUACUGCUUGCACUUCACCUCCUUCUCCUGGCAGUGAUUCUUAAAAACAGGGCGUCUCUUUCCACUUACAUGCAGAUGAUACACCCUUACUGGAAAGCCUCAAGGACAUCAAAGUCUGGAGGUCCUGAAUUUUUUCAAAAUUUACAAGACUGAGAUCAUUGGGUUUGGACCUCGUGCUUAUGUCUGUCUAUUUGGACUGUUGUAGUGCACUUGAUGUUGGUGUUAGCCAGGCCUCACUGUUGCUCUACAAUUUCUCCAAAAUGACAAUGGUUCCCUGUCCAUUAUAAGAUUGAUUUUAAGAUAUAAUUGUCUGUUUUAAACCUUCAAACGGAAAAGCAACUCAGCACAUCUCUUACCUCCUCCAUGUCUACACCCCCCCAAGGUCUCUGAAAUAUGCCUCUUGUGGUCCCUAAGUCCAGACUGAAAACCAUCUCACCUUCUUGGAAGUGGUCCCCAAACUGUGGAACAAGUUACCCCACCACAAUAAAAUGCCCUAAACCUUACACACUCUCAAUUAUUCCUGUGUUUUUCAUUGGUCAAGCUUGGCUUGUCUUAAAAUGGGCUUUAUGGACAAAGUUGACUCGAUUUGACAAAAUACAAAUCCAUUUUAGACACAUGUGCUCACUGAUUAGUAAACCAGGAAUGGGAUUGAUUAGGCUUCGACCUCUGGACAGAAAAAAGAAAUUUUUUAAUUGUCUUCACAGAUGACUGAGAUGCAGGAACGCAUGUAACGAGAAAUCUUUCAUCCACAGGCUCAUUAGCACCACAGGCUGUGAACACCAUCGACAAGUAUGACAUGAACGGUACAUUUCACACAGUUAAGGAUUUUGAUCACUGAAUUAUACAGUGAAAGUCUUGCCAAUAAAUGUAGAGGGUCCCAAUCUGUACUUCUAGUUAAAUAAGAUGACAGAGCAGCAAGAUCUAAACUGAGUGGCUUCAUUUCUUUCAUUAUGCACAAUAAACCUAUGUAUCAAACAAACCCAUAUUUAUCCAGCAUCAUUGUCGCUGUGUGCUUUUCACUAUUUGCAUUCACAUGUCAGUUUAUGUGACAAUAUGUUAUUGGUAUUGUAAUAUACUAUUUCAAAUGGGAAUGUGCUGGUUAUAAGUAGCAAUAGUGAACAGCUUGACAGUAUCCUUAAGAAUGAGUCCUCAUAACAUUCCUGAGCUAGUCCUCCUCCACUAAACCAUUUUUUAAAAAAUGUGUCUUUAAUGGGGAGCUGCAGUGAGCAGAAGCCUGUGUCUGACUGAAAUGAGCUGCCUGCUGUUGGAGCUGUUUACAGUAAAGGUAGAAUAAUGUGUCCAAGUGUCGGCUGCAGGAAAAAGAACGACUUCUCUGCAGGGAGAAACGGAAAGGGCUGGUGUGUGACCUCUGGAAAUAGAUUAUUUGACCACUCAACAAUGUUCAUUUUGCGCAAGUUAUUGGUUAAACUGAGGCGUUUAAGAGGAUGAUUUUCACUGAGUCACUCACCACCAAGGCUUUUUGCAUGGACGUAUGAAGCUCUGCAGCUUUGGCUUUGGUCCACAAAAUGACAGUCAAACUCUGAGACUCCAGAGGCCCCACUUUCUUUGUGACGCCAACUUAUUUGGCCUCAACCCCACUCACAAACCGCAUAUAUCAUCCUCCCGACGGCCUGGAGUGCACCGUGCCACCAGAGUUUCCUUCACAGCCGCAGUAAUGCAAAACGUGGGUAAAACUCAUAAAUGUCAAAUGGUGUUUGGCCAAUCUGGGUAUAUGAGUGUGGCUCUGCGGGCUGAGGCUCAGCAGAGCGCUGCGGAGGCUUUUUAAAAAACCUCAGCCAUCUGCUUCUGAUAAAUCACAACAACUUCUGCUCGAAUCCAAAAAAGCAUUCCUUGCAUUUUAGCUAGCUAUCCAAGUAGAUGAAGGUGACAAACAAAUCAGACUAACAUCGGGACAACAGGGGCUUUUGUGCAGAAAAGACACAGCAGAGGUAUUUUAUAAGAUGCCUUUAGGAUUUUGUAGGUGUUAUGUUAUCUUGGUCUCACUUAAACUUCUAAAAUAUCAUCUAAAAUAAGCACUUUGCCUUCACUAAAUGAUACUUUAUAACUCCAUAUCUGUAAAGUCUUUUUAUUGAGCAUCUAUUUUGAAGUUGGCAUCUGUCAAAAUGGCACUGUAAAGGCGUUUCUAACGUUCUGGUCUUGGUAUACUUUCAUUCCUAUGAGUGGUUUUCUCUUGCUUUGAGAAAUAGAUUCAUCACAGAUCUUUGGCACACAAAAGCAACCCUGCAGGCCAACCUGCUCUCCAUCCACCGAAAGCUUGAAUCAAUAAACCUAUUUCUUAAAAGCCCAAACAGCUUUGUAUCAUUGAAUGCCUGUACCUUUGUGCCACCGAAUGCAAAAUUAAUGCCACCCCUGUUGUGAUUAAACCAUCGGUCUUCUCUGUAUGACAUUUAUCUGAUGUUCUGGGCUCAUUUUAAGGCGUAGUCGUUUCUCAGCAAUGGCACAGCACAAUGCCAGAGACAGAUGGCAGAUGGAACUCCCAGAUGACGUUUAAACUUUAAUAAAGAGCCAAAUACAGCGAGGAAAUAAAAGCAGGGAGCAUGCUGCUGGAUCAUUUGAAGUGGAAAUUGAUUUUUAAAAAUGUCGUUUUUACACCCGGAAAUACUUUUAUAAAAGACACAACAGCAAAAUUAUGUAUUUUAUUAGGACAAAGUGUCCUGUAACCUACAGUGCAAAACAGAUGGUUUUAAACUUGUGAUAAGUGUCAAUAACAACUUGGAUUUAUGUAGCUAUUUUUAAGUGUGCAGUUGGGUAUUGUAGUAUCGAGGAAGGUUCUAUGACACCUUCAUCCCUGUGGUGACACCACACUGUCCAUCUGGGCUGAGGGCUCAUUACUGACAUGAGUUUUGCGUCAUCUAGCGUCAAAAAGUGAAGGCGGAAGUGUGGGGCCAGUACAGAAGCCUAAGGAUUUGUUAAGUUAAUCUACAGGUGCAUAUAGUGUAACCGGAAAUGAAAAUAAUUUUCCUUCAAAACAAAAUUACAGGAAAACUUCAGUAACGUAAACACAAAAUAAAAGUUCCACUCGAAUAAUUUCACCGAGCUGAUGAAUGAAUGAAAAUGAAUGAAAAUCCAAGGGAUCCCAAAACGAACCGGAAAAAUGCAAAAUGCACUCCACAACUAUAAAUGGACAAUUGCAAAGUACAUAUAUAUACAUAUUUAGAGGGGUAUAGAUCAUAGCUUGAUCUAAAAAAACGAAACAAAACAAAAACACAACAACAACAAAACGAAAAGAGACAAAACAAAAAAAAAAACAAUAAAAAAAACAACCAAUACGAAACAAAACAAAACAAAAAAACAAAAAAAAAAAAACAAAACAACACAACAACAACAACAACAACGAAACAAACAAAAAACAAAAACAAAACAAACAAACAA
This 5129-nucleotide long non-coding RNA is filed under the name Xyrichtys novacula (pearly razorfish). The record is from RNAcentral. Lineage: Eukaryota; Metazoa; Chordata; Actinopteri; Labriformes; Labridae.